GCUAUCAUAAAUUCAGUGGAGAAGACCCUGUGAUCAGAAAAUAAGAUGGAGUUUAGGAGUGACUAUAUCUUGUGAACUUUGAAAAGUAAUGAGAGCGAGCCACCAAGAGGUGCAAGAAAGGAAUUCAUGCCAUAUUUAAUGCAAACCAGAGCAACAUCAAACUUCAAAAAAAAAUGACCUUCAGGACUAGAACUAGAGGUUCUACAAGACAAAUACAAGAGCUGUGUUUAUCAACAUUAUAAAUGAUCUGAGG
RNAcentral lists this long non-coding RNA (253 nucleotides) under Sarcophilus harrisii (Tasmanian devil). RNAcentral describes it as "lncRNA (ENSSHAG00000027224.1)". The record is from RNAcentral. Lineage: Eukaryota; Metazoa; Chordata; Mammalia; Dasyuromorphia; Dasyuridae.